Molecule: transfer RNA, 70 nt
Filed under: Noctilio leporinus (greater bulldog bat)
Lineage: Eukaryota; Metazoa; Chordata; Mammalia; Chiroptera; Noctilionidae
Description: tRNA-Phe
Rfam family: tRNA
About the family: Transfer RNA (tRNA) molecules are approximately 80 nucleotides in length.
Source: RNAcentral
GUUCAUGUAGCUUAAACUACCAAAGCAAGGCACUGAAAAUGCCUAGAUAGGUUUACUAACCUCAUAAACA